This 467-nucleotide ribosomal RNA is filed under the name uncultured bacterium. RNAcentral's name for it is "partial 16S ribosomal RNA". It matches the Rfam family "Bacterial small subunit ribosomal RNA", at positions 28 to 506 of the family's 1533-position model. The record is from RNAcentral.
GACGAACGCUGGCGGCGUGCUUAACACAUGCAAGUCGAACGGAAAGGCCCUGCUUUUGUGGGGUGCUCGAGUGGCGAACGGGUGAGUAACACGUGAGUAACCUGCACCUGACUUUGGGAUAACCUCAGGCAACUGGGGCUAAUACCGGAUAGGAGCUCCUGCUGCAUGGUGGGGGUUGGAAAGUUUCGGCGGUUGGGGAUGGACUCGCGGCUUAUCAGCUCGUUGGUGGGGUAGUGGCUUACCAAGGCUUUGACGGGUAGCCAGCCGGGGAGGGAGACCGGCCACAGAGGCACUGAGGUAGAGCCAGGACUGAUACGUGAGGCAGGAGUGAGGAAUGGAGCACGGUGGGCGGGAGCCUGAUGGAGCAACGCCGCGUGCGUGAGGACGGCCUUCGGGUGGGAAGCCGAGUUCGCCUAUGACGAAGCGUGAUGGACGGAAAUGGAGAAUGAGGCACCGGCUAACUACGU